Molecule: ribosomal RNA, 305 nt
Filed under: uncultured bacterium
Lineage: Bacteria
Description: partial 16S ribosomal RNA
Rfam family: Bacterial small subunit ribosomal RNA
Source: RNAcentral
ACAGCAGUAGCCACGGUAAUACGUAGGUGGCAAGCGUUGUCCGGAAUUAUUGGGCGUAAAGGGCUCGCAGGCGGUUUCUUAAGUCUGAUGUGAAAGCCCCCGGCUCAACCGGGGAGGGUCAUUGGAAACUGGGAAACUUGAGUGCAGAAGAGGAGAGUGGAAUUCCACGUGUAGCGGUGAAAUGCGUAGAGAUGUGGAGGAACACCAGUGGCGAAGGCGACUCUCUGGUCUGUAACUGACGCUCAUGCACGAAAGCGUGGGGAGCAAACAGGAUUAGAUACCCGUGUAGUCCCUGUCUCUUAUAU